This 247-nucleotide ribosomal RNA is filed under the name uncultured Lachnospiraceae bacterium. RNAcentral's name for it is "partial 16S ribosomal RNA". It matches the Rfam family "Bacterial small subunit ribosomal RNA", at positions 92 to 339 of the family's 1533-position model. The record is from RNAcentral. Lineage: Bacteria; Bacillati; Bacillota; Clostridia; Lachnospirales; Lachnospiraceae.
UUAGCGGCGGACGGGUGAGUAACGCGUGGGUAACCUGCCUCAUACAGGGGGAUAACAGUUAGAAAUGACUGCUAAUACCGCAUAAGCGCACAGUGCUGCAUAGCACAGUGUGAAAAACUCCGGUGGUAUGAGAUGGACCCGCGUCUGAUUAGGUAGUUGGUGAGGUAAUGGCUCACCAAGCCGACGAUCAGUAGCCGACCUGAGAGGGUGACCGGCCACAUUGGGACUGAGACACGGCCCAAACUCC